RNAcentral lists this ribosomal RNA (468 nucleotides) under uncultured bacterium. RNAcentral describes it as "partial 16S ribosomal RNA". It matches the Rfam family "Bacterial small subunit ribosomal RNA", at positions 28 to 507 of the family's 1533-position model. The record is from RNAcentral.
GACGAACGCUGGCGGCGUGCCUAACACAUGCAAGUCGAACGGAAAGGCCCUGCUUUUGUGCGGUGCUCGAUUGGCGAACGCGUGAGUAACACGUGUGUAUCCUGCCCUUGACUUUCGGAUAACUUCACGAAACUGGGGCUAAUACCCGAUAGGAGCUCCUGCUCCAUGGUGGGGGUUGGAAAGUUUCGGCGGUUGGGGAUGGACUCGCGGCUUAUCCGCUUGUUGGUGGGGUAGUGGCUUACCAAGGCUUUGACGGGUAGGCGGCCUGAGAGGGGGACCAGCCACAUGGGGACUGAGAUACGGCGCAGACGGGAACGGGAGGCAGCGGGGGGAAAUAUUGCACAGUGGGCGGAAGCGUGAGACGGAGGCGCCGGGGGCGUAAUGACGGCUUUCGGGUUGAGAACAGCUGUCGCCUGAGACGAAGCGGGAGUGACGGUAAUGGAUAAAGAAGCACCGGCUAACUACGUG